CAUCACUACAGUGGUGUACGCAACAUCAUCAGAGUGAACUUCACGCAGGAUCUGAAACAGCAAGGAAGGAAGAAGAGGUUUCAUUUGUGACACCAGCCUGCUGUCAUCAGGACUCCACACAAUGGAACGCACCUGCGGACCGAGUUCACCUUUCAGGCAAGCAAACAAACCCUUUGGAAUCUCCUGUUUCUACCAAAUAGACACACUGCACCUGGCCCAGCGGAGCACGCAAACCCUUUGGAAUAGGCGACGAUAGCGGAGA
Polyodon spathula (Mississippi paddlefish) is the source of this 262-nucleotide long non-coding RNA. RefSeq lists it as uncharacterized. The record is from RefSeq and is a predicted model, not a curated record. The transcript has 3 exons. NCBI's taxonomy places the organism in Eukaryota, Metazoa, Chordata, Actinopteri, Acipenseriformes, Polyodontidae.